UACGUAGGCAGCGAGCGUUGUUCGGAGUUACUGGGCGUAAAGGGUGUGUAGGCGGUUCUCUAAGUUUGGUGUGAAAUCUCCCGGCUCAACCGGGAGGGUGCGCCGAAAACUGGAGGGCUAGAGUGCGGGAAGGGAGAGUAGAAUUCCUGGUGUAGCGGUGAAAUGCGUAGAUAACAGGAGGAAUACCGGUGGUGUAGACGGCUCUCUGGACCGCGACUGACGCUGAGACACGAAAGCGUGGGUAGCAAACAGG
Molecule: ribosomal RNA, 253 nt
Filed under: uncultured bacterium
Lineage: Bacteria
Description: partial 16S ribosomal RNA
Rfam family: Bacterial small subunit ribosomal RNA
Source: RNAcentral